GAUGAAGAACGCAGCGAAAUGCGAUACUUGGUGUGAAUUGCAGAAUCCCGUGAACCAUCGAGUCUUUGAACGCAAGUUGCGCCCGAAGCCAUUAGGCCGAGGGCACGCCUGCCUGGGUGUCACACACCGUUACCCUCGCGCCAACGUCCAUCGUUGGCCGCGGCGCGGGGCGUGCGCUGACCUCCCGCGAGCGGGGUCUCGUGGUUGGUUGAAAAUCGAGUUCGCGGUCGAGGGUGCCGUGAUGAAAUGGUGGAUGGGCGACGCCCGAGGCCAAUCACGCGCGACUCUGUNCNGCNNNNNCUCCUGGACCCCUUCGGCGUCUCCGGACGCUCUUUGGCGAGACCUCAGGUCAGGCGGGGCUACCCGCUGAGUUUAAGCAUAUCAAUAAGCGGAGGA
Molecule: unclassified non-coding RNA, 396 nt
Filed under: soil metagenome
Description: partial contains 5.8S ribosomal RNA, internal transcribed spacer 2, and large subunit ribosomal RNA
Rfam family: 5.8S ribosomal RNA (bases 1-122)
Source: RNAcentral